CACGGGGGGAGCAAGCGUUGUUCGGAAUCACUGGGCGUAAAGGGCGUGUAGGCGGUUCAGUAAGUGGAAUGUGAAAUGCCCCGGCUUACCCGGGGACCUGCAUCCCAAACUGCUGGACUUGAGUACGGGAGAGGAUGAGGGAAUUCCUGGUGUAGCGGUGAAAUGCGUAGAUAUCAGGAGGAACACCGGUGGCGAAGGCGCUCAUCUGGCCCGAUACUGACGCUGAGGCGCGAAAGCUAGGGGAGCGAACGGG
This 253-nucleotide ribosomal RNA is filed under the name uncultured bacterium. RNAcentral's name for it is "partial 16S ribosomal RNA". It matches the Rfam family "Bacterial small subunit ribosomal RNA", at positions 524 to 776 of the family's 1533-position model. The record is from RNAcentral.